AUGAUACGCGAGGAACCUUUACCAGGGUUUGACAUAUAGAGGAAUACGUAAGAGAUUACGUAGCUGCUUGCAGUCUUUAUACAGGUGCUGCAUGGCUGUCGUCAGCUCGUGCUGUGAAGUGUUGGUUAAGUCCCGCAACGAGCGCAACCCUUUUGUCUGUUACCAUCAAGUAAUGUUGGGACUCAGACGGUACUGCCGGUGACAAACCGGAGGAAGGUGGGGACGACGUCAAGUCAUCAUGGCCCUUAUACCCUGGGCUACACACGUGCUACAAUGGCAGGUACAGAGUGAUGCGAAGCAGCGAUGCGGAGCAAAUCGCAGAAAACCUGUCUCAGUACAGAUUGGAGUCUGAAACUCGACUCCAUGAAGGUGGAAUCGCUAGUAAUCGCGCAUCAGCAUGGCGCGGUGAAUACGUUCCCGGGCCUU
This 426-nucleotide ribosomal RNA is filed under the name uncultured Spirochaeta sp. RNAcentral describes it as "bacterial SSU rRNA". It matches the Rfam family "Bacterial small subunit ribosomal RNA", at positions 954 to 1382 of the family's 1533-position model. Lineage: Bacteria; Pseudomonadati; Spirochaetota; Spirochaetia; Spirochaetales; Spirochaetaceae. The record is from RNAcentral.